GGAUUAAUUCGAUGCAACGCGAAGAACCUUACCUGGGUUUGACAUACACCGGAAAACCGUAGAGAUACGGUCCCCCUUGUGGUCGGUGUACAGGUGGUGCAUGGCUGUCGUCAGCUCGUGUCGUGAGAUGUUGGGUUAAGUCCCGCAACGAGCGCAACCCUUGUCUUAUGUUGCCAGCACGUAAUGGUGGGGACUCGUAAGAGACUGCCGGGGUCAACUCGGAGGAAGGUGGGGACGACGUCAAGUCAUCAUGCCCCUUAUGUCCAGGGCUUCACACAUGCUACAAUGGCCAGUACAGAGGGCUGCGAGACCGUGAGUUGGAGCGAAUCCCUUAAAGCUGGUCUCAGUUCGGAUCGGGGUCUGCAACUCGACCCCGUGAAGUCGGAGUCGCUAGUAAUCGCAGAUCAGCAACGCUGCGGUGAAUACGUUCCCGGGCCUU
RNAcentral lists this ribosomal RNA (439 nucleotides) under uncultured Rhodococcus sp. Its description in RNAcentral is "bacterial SSU rRNA". It matches the Rfam family "Bacterial small subunit ribosomal RNA", at positions 943 to 1382 of the family's 1533-position model. Lineage: Bacteria; Bacillati; Actinomycetota; Actinomycetes; Mycobacteriales; Nocardiaceae. The record is from RNAcentral.